Molecule: long non-coding RNA, 4845 nt
Organism: Dama dama (fallow deer)
Lineage: Eukaryota; Metazoa; Chordata; Mammalia; Artiodactyla; Cervidae
Exons: 3
Source: RefSeq, a predicted model, not a curated record
UGGGCGUCAGUCCCUGGGGAUAGGGUGGGAGGGCUGUGAGGUUUGUUAGGAAUGCAGAUUCCCAGGCACCACUUUGUGAUAACACAGUAGGUAGGGCCCAGGAAUCUGCCCCUUUUGGAUCAGGCUUCCCAGAUGAUUCUAAUUUGCAGUCAUGUUGGGAGCUAUGGCCCCAGAUGAGCCCUAAAAUAGGGCAACAUGUGGGACAAAUUCAAAGUUUCAUUUGAGAGAUCACCUCUGUGGCUGCUCAUUUAGUCGCAUCCUCAAAUCAGCCCACUCAGGGCACAGAGGGCAGGGACCCAGGAAGUUCCUUAUCGACACAGAGUCUCUCACCUUAACAAGAAGAGCAGCUGCUUUUUCAAGAACCUUCAUGUGUUCCAGGCCAUAAAAAGCAAGGGAGCAAAACAGCUACACAGAGGCCAUCGCUGAAGGCCAGGAGAGGUCUGAGUUCACCACCUCUCCCAGGUAUAUUCGGGUACUGCUCCUCCGACCCAGUGCUGUGUUUUAGGAAGUCAGCUGGCUUUAGCAAUACGGUGUUACUGAAUCAAUGAAGAUCUCUUGGCCCCUAAAUCCUGUUGGUCAACCUGGUCUUGAACUUGCCUACCAGCCGCCCAGGUUCUGAAGGCGCUCAAGUGUUCUUGCAUCAGCCUUUACUGGCCUCAAGUCUACCCGGCGAUAGCUGAUGCAUAAGUGAUUCCUAAGUUUCCAUUCGCGAGGGAUGCAAGGUUUCUUUUUAAGAGUUAAAGGGUCAUUGGAUCCCAGCAAGUCAGUCUGGUCUAAGCCACCCCUGCGAACUUCAGUGACUGCCCCUGCGGACAGAGUCUGUUGCUGCUGCUGCUGCUGCUGCUGCUAAGUCGCUUCAGUCGUGUCCGACUCCGUGCGACCCCAUAGACGGCAGCCCACCAGGCUCUGCCGUCCUUGGGAUUCUCCAGGCAAGAACACUGGAGUGGGUUGCCAUUUCCUUCUCCAACGUAUUAAAGUGAAAAGUGAAAGUGAAGUCGCUCAGUCGUGUCCGACUCUUCGCGACCCCAUGGACUGCAGCCUACCAGGCUCUUCCACCCAUGGGAUUUUCCAGGCAAGAGUACUGGAGUGGAUUGCCAUUGCCUUCUCCCCGACAGAGUCUAAGAGUGGCUAUUUACCAGAAUGGGGCAGAAUCUGGGCCCUGAACCCAAGGUAGUCAUUCUCAAGGGCAAAUGUUGCCCUUCUGGGGACUGUGAUGAAUCCAUCCUCCAUUAAGCACCUACUAUAUGAUGGUUCUGUACAGAGGGCUGGAAAUAUUAGUAACACUAGCAAAACUUCGUAUGUGCCGGUCACUGUUAUAAUCCUCAUUAACAACUUAUAGAUGCUAUAGCUACCUUAGUUUCAAAGAACUGAAAUCAUGGCUUCUGGUCUCAUCACCUCAUGGCACAUAGAUGGGGAAAAAAUGAAGCAGUGACAGGCUUUAUUUUCUUGAGCUUCAAAAUCACUGCAAAUGGUGACUGCAGCCAUGAAAUUAAAAGAUGCUUGCUCUUUGGAAGAAAAGCUAUGACAAACCUAGACAACAUAUUAAAAACCAGAGACAUCUCUCAGAGACAUCACUUUGCCAACAAAGGUCCGUAUAGUCAAAGUUAUGGUUUUUCCAGUAGUCAUGUAUGGAUGUGAGAGUUGAACCAUAAAGAAGGCUGAGUGAUGAACUGAUGCUUUCAAAUUGUGGUGCUGGAGAAGACUUUUGAGAGUUGUUUGGACAGCAAGGAGAUCAAACCAGUCAAUCCUAAAGAAAUCAACCCUGAAUAUUCAUUGGAAGGACUGAUGCUGAAGCUGAAGCUCCAAUCCUUUGGCCACCUGAUGUGAAAAGCUGACUCACUGGAAAAGACCAUGAUGCUGGAAAAUAUUGAGGGCAGGAGGAGAAGGGUGCGACAGAGGAUGAGAUGGUUGGAUGGCAUUAUCAAUUCAAUGAACAUGAGUUUGAGCAAAUUCCAGGAGAUAGUGAAGGACAGGCAAGGCUGGUGUGCUGCAGUCCAUGGGGUUGCAAAGAGUUGGACAUGACUGAGCAACUGAACAACAUAGCUACCUUAGUUUUACAAAGGAAAAGGGAGGCAUAGUGAAAUAAAAUAAUCUACCAACAUUUCACAUUUAGUAAGUGGCAGAGUAUGGUUGGGACACAGGAAAGUAAACACAUUUGGGUUUAAUGCCCACAAUAGGAAUAUACAGAAGGUUCAGAGAUGUUUAAGACACGGUCCUGUGGGGAGGGGAGAGUCAGGAAGAUUUUUCUGAAAGAGAUAAUGUCUGAGCUCAAUUUAGAGAAAGGAAUGGGAGCUUCCUUCUUCUAAGGAAGGACAUGGUAAACAUUUUUCAAGCAUUAAGAAGGGUUGGUGAAGAAGUGGAGAUUGGAAUGAGGCUAAAACAAUAGAAAAAGACCAAAUCUAAGUGUUUUCUUCCUGUAGGAAUUGAAGGAUAUUAAUUUGACCUUUGGUAAGUAGAAAGUCAGAAGGAUUUUAAGCAUGGGAGACAUAUCAAAUGUUCUAGAAAGGUUUCUCUGAAAACAGCGUAGAAAACAUCAGAGCUGCGAAACUUGCUUAUGAAGUCAUUGCAAGGAUGGAUCAGUUAGGAUACAGCUCAGUCGUGUCUCUUUGUGACCCCAUGGACUGUAGCCCACCAGGCUUUUCUGUCCAUGGGUAUUCUCCGGGCAAGAAUAGUGGAGUGGGUUGCCAUGCCCUCCUCCAGGGGAUCUUCCCGACCCAGAGACUGAACCCAGGUCUCCUGCAUUGCAGGCAGAUUCUUUACUGCCUGAGCCACCAGGGAAGCCCUAGCAUAUAGCAGUAGGCAAAAUACGAAUUUCAGAAAAGAUGUCCCCACCUGAAUCCCCAGAACCUAUGAAUAUGUUACCUUACAUGGCAAAAAGGACUUGGCAGGUGUGAUUAAGGUUAAAGAGAAUGAGAUGGGGAGAUUAUCUUGGAUUAUUUGGGUGGAUCUAAUCUAAUUAUAUGAUUCCCACAAAGAGGAUGGAUGAGUCAGAGAGAGUCAAAGUAUGAGAAGAACUUGACCUGGGUCAGGAGCCAAGGAAUAUGGGUGGCCUCCAGAAGCUGGGAAUGGACCUCAGCCAACAACAACAAAAAAUGGGAAUUUCAUUCUAACACUAUAAGGAAAUGGAUCCUCCCUUAGAGCCUCCAGAAAGGAAUUCAGCUCGAUUGACACUUGGAGUUUAUCCUGGUGAGACCCCCCCACUACUGGACUUCUGACCAGAAAUGUAAAACUGUAAAGUAAUAGAUGUAUGUUGUUUUAAACUCCUAAAUUGGUGUUAAUUUGUUUUGCUGUAAUAGGAAAUAAUUAUAGACGCUGAAUGCUUAAACUAAGUUGAUGGAAAGAUGGAUUCAACACUUACAAGGCCCUGGAGAUUGAUGGGACGUGGGGGCUGAAGGAAGGAGAUUAAUCUAGGUCAAUUUACAGGGUUUCUGGGUUGGCAGGCUGUCUUUGGUGAUGCCACCCAGUGGAGGAAAAGGACAAAGACAGGUCUUCUUAGGAUUAAAAAGGUUUACACACUCGCAGGCCUUCCCUACUCCUUAAAAUCAUUAGGAACAGUCCCCGAAAGUCCAUGGGCAGUGAUAUUUGUUACCACCUAGAGUUCUAGAAAUGGAUCUACUCUGUGUAAGCUGAAUGACUUUGGACAGAGCACAGCGCGUCAGUGAAACUUGGCUUCUUCUACUGUGUGGGAUAGGAGGAGCCCCAUCUGCAUGAUUCCUGGGUCAGCCAGGAUGUCGUGGCGUCUGUAACCUCACCCCAGUAACUUUCACCAUUACUUCAUUUCAGUCUCCCUUGUCUUAAGCUGUGUGUCUCAAGCAGCACUCUCCAGGGAUACUUCUAUUUAGAUAUAAAGAUUCUUUAGUCUUUCUCUUUUAUCAUUCCACACCCUUACUACGGACUCUUAUCCUUGGUCUUCACAUGCUUUCUUUACCUCUUGCAGACCUGCAUUUCUAUUGACUUCCCUUCCUACCAGCCUAACUUGAAGAGCCAGCACCUCAGUCACUCACUGCUAAUGCCUCUCAUUGCUUACUCCAUCCUCCUUUCCUUCUCUUACUUGGCACAUCUUUCUAUCCAAUCCAUAUAUUUGUAUGUACUACUUAAGAACCAAAAGAUAUGAAACCUAUGCUCUGCAGAUUUAUGAUCUCUGAUCUGUUAAAUCCUCAAGCAGGCUGGAUUUUCUCUUGCAACACUGAUGGAAAGGAGAAGGGAGUUCAAUCUCUAUCCCUUUCCUCAAGACAUCUUUCACACCCCUAACCCUUCCUACACUUGAUAUACAAUCUUACCUAUUUCAAAGAAAAUAUACAGAUCAUCAAUACAGAAUUUUCUCUACUUAGCCCAGCUAACAAAGAUGUCAUUUACAUCCACAAUCACCUUGACUUCCUUUCCUCUGAUCCCGGUGGGUCAGAGCAAACCCAUUCAUCAGCUUUCAGGGUCCCCAAGGAGUCCUCCCUUCUAUUUACAGAGACUGUAUUCUGUUGAAUAUCCAUUCUCUUUUAUCUUCAACCUCUCAAUUUCUAUACUUUCCCCACAAAAGAUUUUAAAAAAUGCUAAAAUAAUAAAAUUUAAAUAUCACCACGGAUCCUACCACCUUCUCUGACCUCUUUACUAGGGCCAUAUAGACCUGACAGUAGAAACGAUGUAGAGUGGCCAGUGCCUCAGGGCUUCCUUUAGGAGACCUGGGGAGGAAUCUCUACAAUUCCAGGAAAUGUGUGUCACUGUUAUCAAAGAACAACCAGUUUUGCUUCUCUUGAAUAAAGACAUAGGAUUCCACCUUGCUUCAUAGUAUGAUGAUAUUUAGAAAUUAACAAGAUAGUGACCUUUUCUAUCUUACGUGGGCCAAAAGAUACU